This 468-nucleotide ribosomal RNA is filed under the name uncultured bacterium. RNAcentral describes it as "partial 16S ribosomal RNA". It matches the Rfam family "Bacterial small subunit ribosomal RNA", at positions 28 to 507 of the family's 1533-position model. The record is from RNAcentral.
GACGAACGCUGGCGGCGUGCUUAACACAUGCAAGUCGAACGGAAAGGCCCUGCUUUUGUGGGGUGCUCGAGUGGCGAACGGGUGAGUAACACGUGAGUAACCUGCCCUUGACUUUGGGAUAACUUCAGGAAACUGGGGCUAAUACCGGAUAGGAGCUCCUGCUGCAUGGUGGGGGUUGGAAAGUUUCGGCGGUUGGGGAUGGACUCGCGGCUUAUCAGCUUGUUGGUGGGGUAGUGGCUUACCAAGGCUUUGACGUGUAGCCGGCCUGAGAGGGUGACCGGCCACAUUGGGACUGAGAUACGGCCCAGACUCCUACGGGAGGCAGCAGUGGGGAAUAUUGCACAAUGGGCGGAAGCCUGAUGCAGCAACGCCGCGUGCGGGAUGACGGCCUUCGGGUUGUAAACCGCUUUCGCCUGUGACGAAGCGUGAGUGACGGUAAUGGGUAAAGAAGCACCGGCUAACUGCGUG